AUGUUCGAGGUGAACGACACCGGCUCGGCCGGCCUGGGCAACAGCCUCAAGGGCAACAAGUCCCGGGAGAAGGGCGAGGACCUGGGCAUCUUCAUCAAGUCCAUCAUUCACGGAGGGGGCCGCCUUCAAGGACGGCCGAAUGCGGGUCAACGACCAGCUGAUUGCGGUGAACGGCGAGGAGCUGUUGGACCUCUCCAACCACGUCGCCACGGAGACCCUACGCCACUCCAUGUCCUGGGAGGGCAAUGCCCGCGGCACCAUCCAAUUGGUGCUCCUCCGCGCCGCCCCCUCAGCGCCAACGCACAGGAGAGCCAGGAGGCGGCUAGCCACCAGGUCCCAGACGGCCCCUCCGGAACCCCGGCUCUAGCUGCAGCCCUGGAGUCCCACCACCACAGCAACGGUCCCAGCCCCCAGCCGUCCAUGGUCCCAGCUUUUGAGGUGAGAGGACACAGUAGGGCCUGAACUAGGGAA
Molecule: long non-coding RNA, 471 nt
Filed under: Oncorhynchus kisutch (coho salmon)
Lineage: Eukaryota; Metazoa; Chordata; Actinopteri; Salmoniformes; Salmonidae
Description: lncRNA (ENSOKIG00005028147.1)
Source: RNAcentral